Molecule: ribosomal RNA, 243 nt
Filed under: uncultured bacterium
Lineage: Bacteria
Description: partial 16S ribosomal RNA
Rfam family: Bacterial small subunit ribosomal RNA
Source: RNAcentral
CCGGCGCACGGGUGAGCAACACGUAUGCAAUCCACCUGUAACAGGGGGAUAACCCGGAGAAAUCCGGACUAAUACCCCAUAAUAUGGGCUCUCCGCAUGGAGGGUCCAUUAAAGAGAGCAAUUUUGGUUACAGACGAGCAUGCGCUCCAUUAGCCAGUUGGCGGGGUAACGGCCCACCAAAGCGACGAUGGAUAGGGGUUCUGAGAGGAAGGUCCCCCACAUUGGAACUGAGACACGGUCCAA